RNAcentral lists this unclassified non-coding RNA (276 nucleotides) under Hevea brasiliensis (rubber tree). Lineage: Eukaryota; Viridiplantae; Streptophyta; Magnoliopsida; Malpighiales; Euphorbiaceae. The record is from RNAcentral.
GUCCUGAAUUUCUAACAUCACAACAGCAACCUUACGGCUGUACUCUGUUUUCUGCGUCAUGGAUGCAGAGCGGCAGCUUCUUUAGGACUACUCCAAGUCCAAGUCUUCUUUGUCACAAUGGUUUAGCAAUUCCAGCAUCCUUCAGAUUAAGCAGGCAGACUAGAAAAAAUUCACUGGGUCAUGGUGAAUGCAAUUAUAUAGGGCUGCCUCUUGAUAUCUGCACUUACAAAGCUGAAGUCACUAUCCCUUAUCUCUGUCCUAUACAGUCAUCUGAAU